Molecule: ribosomal RNA, 443 nt
Filed under: uncultured bacterium
Lineage: Bacteria
Description: partial 16S ribosomal RNA
Rfam family: Bacterial small subunit ribosomal RNA
Source: RNAcentral
CCUACGGGAGGCAGCAGUGGGGAAUAUUGGGCAAUGGAGGCAACUCUGACCCAGCAACGCCGCGUGAAUGAUGAAGGUCUUCGGAUUGUAAAGUUCUUUUCUAAGGGAAGAAGAAAGUGACGGUACCUUCGGAAUAAGCCUCGGCUAACUACGUGCAAGCAGCCGCGGUAAUACGUAGGAGGCAAGCGUUAUCCGGAAGGACUGGGUGUAAAGGGUGCGUAGGUGGUUUGACAAGUUAGUAGCGAAACUCCGGGGCUCAACUUCGGAACUACUACUGAAACUGUCGGACUUGAGUGCAGGAGGGGCAAGCGGAAUUCGUAGUGUAGCGGUGGAAUGCGUAGAUAUUAGGAGGAACACCAGUGGCGAAGGCAGAUUGCUAGACUGUAACUGACACUGAGGCACGAAAGCGUGGGGAGCAAACAGGAUUAGAUACCCGAGUAGUC